AAUCACGCUUACAUCCAAUUAAUCAGAUUUAACUCACACUUAAUCUUCAAUUAACCAUCAGAUUCAUACUUAAUUCAACCAUUAUGCUAAUUAAAACAUAUUAAUACAGGAAGAAAUUGAAAGAGGAACUAGGUUAAGAGAAUAUUCACGUACGUGAAAACACGCAGACGGCGGCCGCUCAUGUACACCUUCACCGGCGGGAAAAUUCCUCCAUCGCCGCCGUGAACCACGACAACGAAUCCACGCCAACCUCUCACCUUUCCUUUCUGACGUCUUUCACUCUCAGACUCUCAACAUCUCUCUCGGAUAAUUGACGCGACGGCGCCGCUCCCGUCUCCGUCUUAGCUUCAAUCGACGUCGCCUACCUCUCUCUCUCGCAAGACCUCUCCGAUCUGUUAUCUCGAUUUGUAUCCAAGCCUUUCCGAUUUGCUAACGUCACCGGCACUUCGAAGAAGAUCGACGAGUAAUCUGGAGAAACAUAUCAGGUACUCAGAGAAUAGCUGGAGAGUGUGGUGAUGAUUGAAAUCGAUGAUGAUUUGCGGAUUUCUUGAAGUUAUGAAAAUUGAAGGACAAUUGGAGGAAGGAGAGGUUCUGAAUUAUCAAUUUGCGAUGAAGAACGAAUUGCAAUGAUAUUGAUUCGGUAACGAUACGACUAUGCAAAGAAGAUUGUUGAGAUGCGAAGAAGAUGAAUCAAUGGAUUGAAGGUUGAACGAAGAUCAAGAGGUGAUUUUCUUUGUGUAUUUUUUCUGAUUUUUUGUGAUUGAAGAAGAUUAUGGAGUGUUGAAGGUCGUAGAAUUGCAUCGGUUAGAGAUUGAAGAAGUCGAUUGAGAGAAGUUCGAUGAUGAAGAUAAUGAAGAACAGUGAUGAAGAACGGUUCAGAGCGUUUUUUCCUUAGAAGUUUGUUACGUUUCCCAAUUCUGUUAUGGUGAGUUUGCUAUCUCUUCUUUCUCAUUUUUCUAUUACAUUUUCUGCAGAAUCAAGAUCGGAGAACUGAUGAACGAUUACAGAGAUAUAUGAGAUUGAAGGUUUGUGAAUCUUGUGUGGUGAGUGGAUUCAGAGGUGGUGAAUUGAAGGAAGAUGUGUAGAGAGAGUUUGAAGGUUGAAGAAGGUUGAGAUCGCCAAUGGAGGAAGAUGAAGGUGGAGAAGCUUAUUACCUUUUCGGUUCGAGGUUUGAUGGCUGCCGGUUUUUCUUUAUGGCGGAGUUGCGGUUCGGCUUUGCAGGCUACCAUGUUGAGCUUAAUUUGGAUGCAGGGCGGUCUCCAUGGUGUAAUGGAUUUGUAAUAGGAUCAUUUUGUAAAGAAUGUUUGGUUGUAUAUUUAUGAUAUAAUGGACUUGGACUCUUGAAAACAUGUAAUUUAUUGGACUUGAAUAUGAUAUGGAUGUAUAGAUUUUUGUAUUGAACCAUGAUGGGCUUUUUUUGUGUAUUUGAAUUUUUGUGAUGGAUAUUAGUGUAUAGUUUAUGGGCCUUGAAUGAAUGAUAUUUGAAUGGAUUUUGUAUGAACAAUGAAUUUGGAUAGAAAUUUAAAUGGGCUUGAUAAAUGGAUUUUUAUCUUGUAUUGGAUAUAUUUAAAACUCAAAUUUUGAAUGGACUCUCAAUUCGAACUUCAAUCUCCUUCGUAAAUCAAUGACACAUGGAAUGAAUGAAACUUGAAUGAAUCUAACUUUGCUCCUCAAUUCCACUUGCAAAACCAACAACCCAUAAUAGAGAUCACAACAUGAGUCCAUCAUCAUCCCUUACAUCAUGACUUAACCUUCGUAACUCGGAGUAUAAACCUUUUGACUUAACAAUCUCAAAACAAUAGAAACUCUUUAUUAUUUUCUCAAUUUUUGAACGACGAAAUAAACGUCGCUGAUAACUUAUAGCACGUAUAAAGAGGGCAAAUUUUGGGGUGAAAGAGAGGAAGUUUGAAAGUUUAGUUGAUCAUGUUUGUUUGAGUGAUUAGUGUCUUAUAAAGACACAUGAGAAA
Molecule: long non-coding RNA, 1967 nt
Organism: Vicia villosa (hairy vetch)
Lineage: Eukaryota; Viridiplantae; Streptophyta; Magnoliopsida; Fabales; Fabaceae
Exons: 4
Source: RefSeq, a predicted model, not a curated record